GGUACGGGGAAUUAUCGUUUGAUUCCGGAGAGGGAGCCUGAGAGACGGCUACCGGGUCCAAGGACAACAGCAGGCGCGAAAAUUACCGCAGCCUGCGAUCAGGGCGGUAGUAAGGAGACGUGAUGACGAAGUGCUGAUAAAAGCUGCACUAGUGACAGGAGGAAAAGACUGGUGCCAGCACCCGCGGUAAUACCAGCUCCUGGAGUGUCUAUGAUGAUUGCUGCAGUUAAAGAGUUCGUAGCCGAGGCAUUAUUAACAGCGUUAAAGGGGAUAUCUCAAUUAUCCCUGUGCGCAGUGAUUUUGCAGAAUAAGGAGUGCUUAGGGGCUAGAGUAUCAUACGGCGACUGGUGAAAUGGGAUGACCCGUGUGGGAGUAACAGAGGCGAAAGCGCUGGCCAGGGGCGAAUCCGAUGGUAAAGGACGUAGGCUAGAGGAUCGAAGACGAUUAGAGACCGUUGUAGUUCUAGCAGUAAACGAUGCCGAUGUCGUGGUGCCGAAAAAUGGCGACGCGAAAGAGAAAUCGAGUAGGGCCCUGGGGAGAGUACACGCGCAAGCGAGAAAUUUAAAGGAAAUUGACGGAAGAACACCACAAGGAGUGGAGUGUGCGGCUUAAUUUGACUCAACGCGGGACAACUUACCGGGCCCGACGACCGUAAGAGUGUGACACACGAUAGGUCGAAGAGUGGUGCAUGGCCGUUAACGACGAGUGGAGUGAUCUUUGGGUUAAGUCCGUAAAUUAGUGAGACCUCAGCCGUAAGGGACAGGUGCGCAAAGCACAGGAAGGAUGGGUCAAGGACAGGUCAGUGAUGCCCUUAGAUGGUCCGGGCUGCACGCGCACUACAGUGGUCGCCGAAAUUAGCUGAUAAUUUUAAAGGCGAUCGAGAGGGAAUGAGCUUUGUAAGAGGCUCAGGAACGAGGAAUUGCUAGUAAUCGCGGACUCAUUAAGACGC
This 949-nucleotide ribosomal RNA is filed under the name Loma wallae. Its description in RNAcentral is "SSU rRNA". It matches the Rfam family "Microsporidia small subunit ribosomal RNA", at positions 217 to 1162 of the family's 1311-position model. The record is from RNAcentral. Lineage: Eukaryota; Fungi; Microsporidia; Glugeidae.